AAAGGCUGUCACCAUUUGACCAAAAGGGAGGACCAGGACAGAAGGAGCAUAAGUCAAUGGUUUUCUUUAGUGUGCUGCCAGCAGAAUCAGAAUCACCUAGAAGCUGGGGACAUGGAUGGAGUUGGAAGCCAUUAUCCUCAGGAAACUCAUGCAAGAACAGAAAACCAAACACCACAUGUUCUCACUUAUAAGUGGGAGCUGAAUGAUGAGAACAUAUGGAUGCAUCAGGAGGAACAACACACACUGGGGCCUGUUGGGGGAUGGGAGGAGGAAAAGCAUCAGGAAUAAUAGCUAAUGGAUUCUGGGCUUAAAACCUAGGUGAUGGGUUGAUCUAUGCAGCAAACCACCAGGGCACACAUUUACCUAUGGAACAAACCUGUGCAGACUGCACAUGUACCCCGAACUUAAAAUAAAAGUUGAAGUUGAAAAAAAAAGAAAAAGUUUGUCAACCCUUUAACCCCUGACCAAAGGGAAAAAGAAUAAAAGAAGGUAGCAAAAAUUAGGAGAGAGCUGACUCAUAAUUCUAAAUGAUGUAAGAAUUCGAAACAAAACAAUCCCAACAAUUAUUCUAAAUAAAAUAAUUCUAAAUAAUAAGUAUAGUAACAUAAUAGCAAAUUUUUAUUGAUCUCUUAUGAUGUCCUACGUCCUGUUUUAGUCACUUUAAUUGUAUUAACUCGCUUAAUCUUUAUAACUUCCAUCCAUUUUAUAAAUAAGAAAACUGACACAAAUUGUCCAAAUGAAAUGGAUUGUUUUUUUUUUAAUAUAAACCCAAGAAGUUCUGUCCUCAGAGCUCGUGCCGUUUAUCAUUACCCAAGACUACCUGCCUCUUGAGAAAAAGUGAAUCUCUUCAGUUAAACUAUGCAGAUGUUUGCUAAUAUUUGCUACUGUGCUUGUUCUUUUUGGGAAGGCGAUUCCACAUAAUUUCGUCAGAACUCCUUUGUGUGAAGAUAGAAUCCAGCCACCAUCCUAUCCUCAUUAUGACACUGUCAUUACAACUAAGACAUCAGAGUGGACAUUCACCUCUUUUCAAGAAACAUUUUCAUCUACUGACUCUAUGUGGAAGUCAAAGAGCUAACUAUGAUUUAUGUUCUUCAUUCCAUUUCCUGAAACUUUGAUGUGCAGGUUAAAGACUGUUUCUAUCUGAACUGUUUUAUGGGAAAAGCUAACUUGACCUAACUACAUGAACCUCUGGAGUCUGGGUAACCUGACUUUUUCACAAAGCAACUGAUAUUUGCAUGUUGGGUUUUAUUUUUAAUUUGUCAUGGUUCUUGGAGACUGCUCUGAAUGUUCAAUUAUAUUUUUAAUUUCA
Symphalangus syndactylus (siamang) is the source of this 1309-nucleotide long non-coding RNA. RefSeq lists it as uncharacterized. NCBI's taxonomy places the organism in Eukaryota, Metazoa, Chordata, Mammalia, Primates, Hylobatidae. The record is from RefSeq and is a predicted model, not a curated record.